GAAUCUGCCUGGUAGUGGGGGAUAACGUCCGGAAACGGGCGCUAAUACCGCAUACGUCCUGAGGGAGAAAGUGGGGGAUCUUCGGACCUCACGCUAUCAGAUGAGCCUAGGUCGGAUUAGCUAGUUGGUGGGGUAAAGGCCUACCAAGGCGACGAUCCGUAACUGGUCUGAGAGGAUGAUCAGUCACACUGGAACUGAGACACGGUCCAGACUCCUACGGGAGGCAGCAGUGGGGAAUAUUGGACAAUGGGCGAAAGCCUGAUCCAGCCAUGCCGCGUGUGUGAAGAAGGUCUUCGGAUUGUAAAGCACUUUAAGUUGGGAGGAAGGGCAGUAAGUUAAUACCUUGCUGUUUUGACGUUACCAACAGAAUAAGCACCGGCUAACUUCGUGCCAGCAGCCGCGGUAAUACGAAGGGUGCAAGCGUUAAUCGGAAUUACUGGGCGUAAAGCGCGCGUAGGUGGUUCAGCAAGUUGGAUGUGAAAUCCCCGGGCUCAACCUGGGAACUGCAUCC
RNAcentral lists this ribosomal RNA (511 nucleotides) under Pseudomonas aeruginosa. RNAcentral's name for it is "bacterial SSU rRNA". It matches the Rfam family "Bacterial small subunit ribosomal RNA", at positions 122 to 628 of the family's 1533-position model. Lineage: Bacteria; Pseudomonadati; Pseudomonadota; Gammaproteobacteria; Pseudomonadales; Pseudomonadaceae. The record is from RNAcentral. RNAcentral also lists the same sequence under 1 other name.